GCCCGGCUAGCUCAAUCGGUAGAGCGUGAGACUCUUAACAUGGACAGGAGCUUCCUCGUCAAACUUAGACCAUCUCAAGGUUGUGGGUUCGACCCCCACGUCGGGCU
Molecule: transfer RNA, 107 nt
Filed under: Bombardia bombarda
Lineage: Eukaryota; Fungi; Ascomycota; Sordariomycetes; Sordariales; Lasiosphaeriaceae
Rfam family: tRNA
About the family: Transfer RNA (tRNA) molecules are approximately 80 nucleotides in length. Their secondary structure includes four short double-helical elements and three loops (D, anti-codon, and T loops).
Source: Rfam by way of RNAcentral